CCUACGGGUGGCAGCAGUGGGGAAUAUUGGACAAUGGGGGCAACCCUGAUCCAGCCAUGCCGCGUGUGUGAAGAAGGCCCUCGGGUUGUAAAGCACUUUCAGUGAGGAAGAACGCCUGGUGGUUAAUACCCAUCAGGAAAGACAUCACUCACAGAAGAAGCACCGGCUAACUCCGUGCCAGCAGCCGCGGUAAUACGGAGGGUGCGAGCGUUAAUCGGAAUUACUGGGCGUAAAGCGCGCGUAGGUGGCUUGAUAAGCCGGUUGUGAAAGCCCCGGGCUCAACCUGGGAACGGCAUCCGGAACUGUCAAGCUAGAGUGCAGGAGAGGAAGGUAGAAUUCCCGGUGUAGCGGUGAAAUGCGUAGAGAUCGGGAGGAAUACCAGUGGCGAAGGCGGCCUUAUGGACUGACACUGACACUGAGGUGCGAAAGCGUGGGUAGCAAACAGGAUUAGAUACCCUUGUAGUC
RNAcentral lists this ribosomal RNA (465 nucleotides) under Vreelandella stevensii. RNAcentral describes it as "partial 16S ribosomal RNA". It matches the Rfam family "Bacterial small subunit ribosomal RNA", at positions 338 to 795 of the family's 1533-position model. Lineage: Bacteria; Pseudomonadati; Pseudomonadota; Gammaproteobacteria; Oceanospirillales; Halomonadaceae. The record is from RNAcentral.